GACGAACGCUGGCGGCGUGCUUAACACAUGCAAGUCGAACGGAAAGGCCCUGCUCUUGUGGGGUGCUCGUGUGGCGAAGGGGUGAGUAAAACGUGAGUAACCUGUCCUUGUAUGUGGGAUAAAAUCAGGAAACAGGGGAUAAAAUCGGGGAGAAGAUCUUGAUGCACGGUGGGGGAUGGAAAGAUUCGGCGGUGGGGGAUGGAAUCGAGGGUUAUGCGCUUGUUGGUGGAGUAGUGGCUUACCAAGGUUUUGACGGGUAGCCGGCCUGGGAGGGUUACCGGGCACAUUGGGACUGAGGUACGGCCCAGACGGCUACGGGAGGCAGCGGUGGGGAAUAUUGCACAAUGGGCGGAAGCCUGAUGCAGCGGCGCCGCGUGCGGGAUGACGUCCUUCGGGUUGUGAACCGCUGUCGCCUGUGACGAAGCGUGAGUGACGGUAAUGGGUAAAGAAGCACCGGCUAACUACGUG
RNAcentral lists this ribosomal RNA (468 nucleotides) under uncultured bacterium. RNAcentral describes it as "partial 16S ribosomal RNA". It matches the Rfam family "Bacterial small subunit ribosomal RNA", at positions 28 to 507 of the family's 1533-position model. The record is from RNAcentral.